RNAcentral lists this ribosomal RNA (250 nucleotides) under uncultured bacterium. Its description in RNAcentral is "partial 16S ribosomal RNA". It matches the Rfam family "Bacterial small subunit ribosomal RNA", at positions 524 to 776 of the family's 1533-position model. The record is from RNAcentral.
UACGAAGGGUGCAAGCGUUACUCGGAAUUACUGGGCGUAAAGCGUGCGUAGGUGGUUCGUUAAGUCUGUCGUGAAGCCCGGGCUCAACCUGGGAAUGGCGAUGGAUACUGGCGGGCUAGAGUGCGGUAGAGGAGAGUGGAAUUCCCGGUGUAGCAGUGAAAUGCGUAGAGAUCGGGAGGAACAUCAGUUGCGAAGGCGGCUCUCUGGACCAGCACUGACACUGAGGCACGAAAGCGUGGGAGCAAACAGG